Molecule: non-coding RNA, 188 nt
Filed under: Bacilli bacterium
Lineage: Bacteria; Bacillati; Bacillota; Bacilli
Description: 6S RNA
Rfam family: 6S / SsrS RNA
About the family: E. coli 6S RNA was the first non coding RNA to be sequenced, but its function was unknown until recently.
Source: RNAcentral
AAUUGUCUAAAGGAUGCGAUACUAGCAAUUAUAAAACCGACUAAAGAGACGAUAAGGGAAUCUUGAUAAAGUUUAUCCGUGUUGAAUGCCUGUUUAUUAAUAGGAAUCCUAAAGAUAGGCUAGAGAUACCCACCUGUAUAUAAGAGCAGGUUUUAUCGUUAUGCCAAGAACGCUCCUUUGGCAUUUUU